CCCUGGUGUGAUGGCGUGGAUCGAUCAGAGCAAAGGGGGGAGAAGACAAACCCUAACUUCAUGAAAUUCUCAAGAAUUGAAAGAGAUUAGGAGCCCAAACUAAUGCAUGAACUCGAAACCUCAAUCAUCUAAGCUUGUACAACAAGCGGAACGUGUCAAGGAGAGGUCAAGCAUAGGAGGAUAACGGGUCAAGAUAAGGCAAGAUGACAAAUACACUUAUUGGAGUACUCGAGGUAUGGGGUCGUUGGCUUCAUGAAGAAAUGGAGCUGGAUUUGGAUAAGAGUAUUUAAGAAAGCGCUUGGACAAUUCCACGACUACUUUAUAGAAUGCUCUACGAAAUUUUAUUAUAUAGUUUAAUGUUGAAUGGUAUGUUGAUAACUAAUGGUUUGGUUGUACGUGGUGUCCACAGGUAUCGCUUGGGUUUUCUCUACUUUUAUUGAAGUGAAGCGGACUUAGUUCGAGUUGAGAGCAAGGAUUGUACGGGGUAGAAUGGUCACAUAGUGUAACUCAUAUAGGUUUUGAAGUAUUAAUGUUAUAAAACGUUAUAAAUCCGUUUUAAUGAAUAUAUGGCAUUUCGCAUUUGAACUUUCAUGUGUUUGAUAUGUCUAUUAAAGAACGAAAUUUUUGGGCUCUUGUUUUCCGCUGCGUCGUAUUUUAAGUUAUUACGCGUUAGUCUUACAGGGAAUUGUUCUUAUUACGAACGGGUCAUGCCCGAAUUUUGUUAAAUAAUAGUAUGAUAAUAUUACAUUUUGGAAUGUGUAAUUUGGGCGUAACAAGUUGGUAUCAGAGCCCUGGUUUGAGAGAAUUAAGUACGAGAGUAUAAGUACUUGAACUCAAACCUGUGUGCUCUUGUGAUAAGGAACCCGUACAAUCCAUGACUCGAUCAAGAUCUAAAGGUAGAAAUGGAACGAAAAUGUGUAAGUAUGUAUUAGAUUAUGUAUUUGAAAGAAACUAAUAGUGUGUUAUGUGCAAGGUAAGCUUAAGAUCUUGAAGAGGAUGAUCCGUGAAUACAGAAUGGGAUGAACGCUAAGGCGGGCAAAGGUGCAAAUAGGCAAAUUAACCCCAGGUACACAUUACUAAUAUGUAUGAGUACCGAUGUCAAAAGAAAAAGGAAGGGGUCUCCUUGGGAGGGAAAUUAUUAAACGAAAGACAAUGAUGUGGUCUUGGGGAAGUUUUAGAAAUGUGCACGAAACUGAAACCCAUUUCUCGGGCAUAAGGCGAUGAUUACACGAAGGCACGAAACUAGUGUGUGAAUUGCGCACCUGGCCAGUACGCAAGAAGCAUAUGACGUUCGUGAGACCGUGGCAAUUAUUGCAGGUAUGUCCGGUAGAACUGGGUAGCAGGUGGGCGCUAUGUUGUAGCGAAUCCGAAAUAGCAAAUCCAUUGCGGAUUUGGUUAUGCUAACGAAGGUUAUGAAAAGUUAUGCGAGUCGACCGGUUCUAGCGAACAAGUCGAAUAAGAAUAAGCUACCAUCCGUUUUGAACGGGUGAUUUUGAAUGCUCUAAUGAAUGCUAGAAGCUUAAUCCGUUAUACGGAUUGAAAGAAGAAGUUAUGAUUAAAUGUGAAAAACCCAAUUAUUUGGGUAGUGGAAAAUGUGUAUGCUUAACUCUCGUUGAGAGUGUUUAUGCCAAACCCAAUUAUUUGGGUAGUGGAAUGUGUAUGCUUAACUCUCGUUGAGAGUGUUUAUGCCAAACCCAAUUAUUUGGGUAGUGGAAUGUGUAUGCUUAACUCUCCUUGAGAGUGUUUAUGCCGAAACCCAAUUAUUUGGGUAGUCGAAUGUGUAUGCUUAACUCUCUUUGAGAGUGUUUAUGCCAAACCCAAUUACUUGGGUAGUCGAAUGU
This 1841-nucleotide long non-coding RNA is filed under the name Helianthus annuus (common sunflower). RNAcentral's name for it is "hypothetical non coding rna". Lineage: Eukaryota; Viridiplantae; Streptophyta; Magnoliopsida; Asterales; Asteraceae. The record is from RNAcentral.